RNAcentral lists this long non-coding RNA (24799 nucleotides) under Daucus carota (carrot). RNAcentral's name for it is "long non-coding RNA (DCAR_LNC001131)". Lineage: Eukaryota; Viridiplantae; Streptophyta; Magnoliopsida; Apiales; Apiaceae. The record is from RNAcentral.
AAUGAUCCUGCCUUCCAAGAUCUGUUAAAUCAAGCUGAUGAAGAAUUUGGGUUCAGCCAACCAGAAGGCGGCCUCACUAUUCCCUGCUCAGUGGACACAUUCAUUCACCUUACUUCACGCCUAGAUAGAUUAUAGUGAGAAAACAUUUGUGUACUGGUAGAUAGUACAGCAUUGAAAUGUACAUAGUAGAAUAGGGAUUUUUAUCAGAUUUUUGUUGGCAACGCAUAAUUUGAAACUCACCACUUUGUCCGAUCUAAAAUUACCAUAGUAGAUAGAUUAUAGCUUAUUCUUAUAAAUCUAGAUCAAUAUAUAGAACGCCUGACAGAAAAAAGAGAUCAAAAUAUAGAACGAAAAAGUUUGAUACUCAAAUCAGUAACUUUUGCAUGUGACCUAAAGCUAAUUCUCUGAAGGCAGGGACUUUUAAAUAUCUUAAACUUAUCUACCCAGAACCUAUAUAUGAUGUUCUUGAUAAAAACAGCAAAUUUCAGAUGCAAUGAUUGUUGAAUGCAGACAGGUUUACAUAUAGUCCCUAGAUACUAAAAUGAAAAAAAAAAAAGGAAUGAAACAUCCAUCCAACAAAAAACCAGCACAGUGAAAUUGGAGGGUUGAGUCUGUCAACUAUUAGAGUGAAAUUAUAUAAACUUGUUCUUCACAUCCAUCCAAAGAGAUCUCGGUAAUUCCAGGAUAGCAAUAUGUAUGAAUAAAUAGAUAUUAAUUAACUAAGCAAAAGAAAUUCUUCACUGGUAUCUAAAAAUCAUAUUUCUGUGUAAUGAGAUGGUUACUCUAAUUUUCCCUAGGUUAUCAAAUGAGGGGGAUUGACUAGUAUACAUUAUAAACUAGAACCAUGCAAAACUGUUAGUACCAGAUAAUAGCUAUUUGUUUCUUAUAUCUGUGCAAGACUAAAGUGCGGUUAAUGAAUGUCUUCUCUACAUGGAAAAGCCACUUCAGACUAUAAAGACAUGGAAUGUAUAAAGCUGCUUAUCUAUAUUUCAAAUAAUAAGUACUUAUAAAGAUAUAUAAUGACUUCAUACUGAUUGCAGAGAUCAAAUCCAUGUAGAAAUUAAUGUAAUCAAAUUACAAAGUAUCAGUUAAUGCUCUACCAAAAAGAUCUAUAUGAGAGUCAUAUAUAAAAUUUCUGGACUAGUCUACAAAAUUGUACACUAUCUAACAAAAUAUAUAUAAACUCUCAUAAUCUGUUCAAGAGAUCAAUGAAGGUGUCUUCUUUGCAUGGUAUUGUGAGGCCACGUUCUGGAUGACUGAACCCAAAUUCUUCCUCAGCUUGACUUAACAGGUCUUGGAACGUAGGCUCAUUUAAGUAAGAGAUCGGAACGACAAAUCUUCUUCUUUGGUUCUCCCCGACAUAAACUGCUAUACAUCCCUUGGGGACAUUUGUACUGCGAUCAAGAUUUUUUAAGGAAAAUUGUCUGUUGAGAAUUUGCUUGAGAUUAGUGAUAUGAGGCACACGAAUACCCAUGAUGCUCAAGAAAAAUUGAAACUUCAACGGAUAUGGAGAAACCAAGAACUUCUGCAGAUGGUAGGCUUAGACCCUUAAUUACACUUGAUUUUGAGAUGAAUUUGGUUGAGGAGAUCACAGUUUUUAUAUCGAAAUAACAAGUAAUGAGCGGUUGAUGAAAAUGUAGAUUGAGUGGAACAGAUGCAUUAGGCAAUAGCACAUGCUAUUCUCUUUAAAAGGCCACACAUAUUUAAGAGUAAUGCUAGGACUUGAAUCUCUACUGAGAGACAUCAUGUCCUACAAAUAUGGACCUGAUAUACGACAGAAUAUAACGUAAUAUAUACGGAUAUGAACAACGUACAAUUAAUUUGGCUGGAAAGUCCCCACUUUGCCUGGCAAGCAAGGUAUUUGUGGUCAGUAGUUAGGUGCUCAUGUGAUAGUGUUUUCAUUCACCUAUCCUAGAUGUGAAUUUUGUGUAGUAGGAAACACCUGAUACAAGUUGUUAUAUCCAUGAAAGGAAGGGCAAAUUUAUUGAAGAAACAGAUUAAUGGACUGUUAGGAUUUUGUGUGGUAGGAAACACCUCAUAUAAGUUUUCAUAUAUUUAUAUUCACAAAACAAAUAGUAAAUCAGAAUGGGACAGGUAGAUUGUUAAAAUACAACCCUUAAUAUAACUCGGUCUUCUUGGCAUGCUUAAAAAUAAAUCCGCUCACCCCAAAACCGAUAAUAUCCGGUAUGAGUUAAAAGAAAUAAAUUAAAUUCUGGAAAAGAAGAACUAAGUUCCGAGAAAAAAGAAGGUAAAGACUCCUCCGAAGACCAGAAAUAUAUAAGAACACGGUCAAACUUUUAAUGUGACAUUAAAAAUUAAGACUAGCACAAAAGCCCCUGCGAGGCAAAGUUUAAAUGUGAAAUUAGAAACUAAGACCAGCACAAAAACCCCUACGAGGCACAUGCUUUUAAUUUAAAUCAUGUUUCUAAUUGAUUGUUUAUUAUAUUUAUAGAAUUUAAAUUUUAAUGUAUUUGUUUGUUUUUAAAUUUUAAAUUGAACUUUUUGAUACCUCUGUGUAUUCUACUGUAAUUGAUACUCGAUUUAUUGUUAGCAAUUCAAUAUUAGCAAGAUAUAUUAAUUAAAAUUAUCCUCAUUGACACAGUUUCUGUUUAAUAAAACUCUUAAAACAUUUGUAACAUACUAAACCAACAAAACAGACCUCUAGCAAAGGUUGAUAGUAUAGUCAUCAGCAUGCUCAAAACAUGUAAAAGUUUACAUGAAAGUCUCAGUCAGAAUUAAUAUUCCUAGACUAGUUCACAGAGUUUGUACACUAUCUAACAAAAUUUAACUAUGUCAUAUCUGCAGACAUAUAAACUUUCAUAAUCUGUUUAAGACAUCAAUGAAAGUGUCUUCUUUGCAUGGAAUUGUGAGGCCACCUUCCGGAUGAGUAAACCCAAAUUCUUCCUCAGCUUGACUUAACAGGUCUUGGAAUGUAGGCUCAUUUAAGUAGGAGACCGGAACCACAAAUCUUCUUCUUUGGUUCUCCCCAACAUAAACUGCCAUGCAUCCCUUGGGGACAUAUGUACUCCCAUCAAGAUUUGUAGAGGAAAAUUGCCGGUUGAGAAUUUGCUUGAGAUUAGUGACACGAGGCAUGCGGAUACCCAUGAUGCUAAUGAAAAAUUAAAGUUUUCAGAGUAAACUUUGGGGAUAUGCAAUUACAAGGACCUCUGCAGAUUGAAGCUUCGACACUAGAAUACACUCAAUUCUGAAAUGACUUUGCUAAGUUUCCAACAGUGUUUAUAUAGAACGGACAGAAUGUAUUGAGCUGUUGAUCAAAUUGCAGAUUGAGUGACACAGAUGCAUUAGGCAUUAGCACAUGCUAUGCCUAAGGGUACGUAGGACUCUUAUGUCUGUGAGUGACAUCUUGUCCUACUACUUAAUUGUGUUGAACAAUUCUUAACCUGAUUGUUUCUUAUCUAUAACAGAGUUUAUACUAAGGUCAUCGACAUACAUAUAAUGGCUAGAAACUGUCAAGUUCGAUAGGCAAGAAAUCAAAUCUCAUGCUUUUAUUGGUCAUAUAUAGCUGUAGGUGGGACAGGCAAGUUUCAUGCUCAUGUGAUGGUGUUCUCUUGACCCACAUAAGUCAUGCUGCAUUAUGUGAAAAUAUCACUUGGAGCUGGAAGAAGCAGUGUCACAUGAACACUUAUUAUUUCAACCCCACCAUAAUCAGUGCAGACAAACCCAAUACAUAAAAUCCUUUGGAGGAGUCUUUAGCUAUAUACUAGUGAUUUUGUGUGCUCCAUGUUAAAUCUGCAGUGCUUUUAUGCCUUUUCUUUAAUUUUUAUUUUACUUAUACACAUAUAACUGUAGGACAUCAACAAACGUAUUCCAGGCCAAGAUUACAUAUUGAGUCGUGAUUUAUUACUAGGACAUUAUGUCUCCCAACACAUAAGAUGUCCGCUUAUCAGCCAUUAAUACAUGUAGCUAGUGAAAGAGAAAAUCAUGUGCUAGUGUCUAAUGCCUACCCACUGCUCAAUGUACAACUUGAUGAGAUGUUCUAUUCAAAUUGUUGAUUGUUCUAUAUAAACACAUAAUUAAGCGAUACUAACAUUCAUCAUAAACACACUGGUCCAAAGUCUUUUCCUUAAAACUAUACAAGUCCUAGUGUUUCUUCAGUUUCCUGAACUCUUCUCUGAAAGAUCUAUAGUGUCAUGGGUAUCCGUAUGCCUCGUAUUACUAGUCUCAAACAAAUUCUUAACCGCUCAUCUUUCUUAUUAAAUCCUGAUCUAUCUUCAACAAUUCCAAAGGGGUGCUUGGCAGUUUAUAUUGGGGAGAGGCAAAGAAGCCGAUUUGUGGUACCCAUUUCAUACCAGAAUGAGCCUGCCUUUCAAGAUUUGUUAAGUCAAGCCGAGGAAGAAUUUGGAUUCAAUCAUCCGGAAGGAGGGCUUACCAUUCCUUGCUCAGUGGACACAUUCAAUGAAAUCACUUCGCGCCUGAACAAUCUAUAUACUUGUAGAUAGUAUAGCACCUCCGAUCUCAUUUAUUGAGUUUCUGAGUGUAAACUGUAGAACAUACAGAUUUUGUAGGGGAAGCAUAAUUUGAUACUCAAACUUUUUGAACAUAUUGACCAUCACUUAUGCUCAUGUUUACUUGUUAUUUUCUAUAAAGCAUAUCACCAAGUGUUUGACGAUAAACUUUAUGCCUAAACCAAAUCACCAACAAAUUUACAGGUUCUGUAGUUACUCUUUCAUACCUGAAUCUUGCAAUCGUCUUGAAAAAUCAGCACUGACACAGGGUUGCUAGCUCAAAAAUCAAAAUUAAAAUUUAUGAACAGUUCUAACUAAUUAAUAAAUAUAUGUCUUGCAUAGUCAGUGGAGAAACCAGAACUAAAAUCUUGGGGUGGCUCAAAUAUUUAAUUAUAUUCCUAAGCACUUUUAUUACUGAUGGUCACAUCAAAAAGAGAUUAAAUAUUUUUAUAUGAUGUGACCCCCGCCGUGUAUCUCCCGCUCGAGUUAAACAAGUUUCUCUAUUCUUCUUUUUUUCCAGAAAAUAUCUCACCACUUUCGAAACAUUUCAGUGUAAGUUCAUAAUGUCUUUGUCGAAACAUAUCCAUUCUCUUACACGAAUCAUCAACAAAUUCACAAUACGACAAAGAUGACCAGAAAAAUCACUUACUACAUGAGAACAUUUAGCCAUAGCAACAACUAAUAACUGCAAUUUCAUGACUCUAAUGGUGAUUUAAAGUAAUGCAAUAUGAUGACUCUCCUGGUAGUUUAAUGUAAUUCGAGAGUACCAAAUUAGACUACCACAAUUCAAUAAUUCAGAAUUAACGAAGAAGUCUCUAAAUUAUCAUUCUAAUUAGUAAGGACUUCCCAGAUCAAUUUCAGGAUCAAACGACGACAUAUGUGUUAGAGAGAACCUUUUAAACUCUAUUUCUCGGGCAUCCCCCAAUUAACAAUUUCAUUAUACAAAAUCAUAAAAGAUACAAAAAUAUUAAAGACUAACAAUUUAUCCAAGAAUCAAGAAGGUCAAUCACAAAACGUGAUAAAAAUAAAAGGAUAAUCAAUCAAUUUAUCAUACCUUGAAAUUUAAAAAGCAAGUGAGAAGUCAGAGUAUUGAGUAAACACGAAAACACUGAGUGAAUCUAGAGAGGGAAAUAGAAGGAUAACGUCGGGUGUACUUUAUUCGACAUUUUAAAAAAUUAUGUUGACAUCUGUAAUUUAGCAGAGGCUAAAAAAAAAAUAUCCACCGUUUUUUGAGGUCAUGGGUAGCUUUAGCAUCCCCUAGCCCUCUCUGGUUGUGCCACUGUGCAUAGUUUAAUUUAUAUAAGUCAUUUAUUAUCAUGAAUACUCCUUUUGCUCUUGAGCCUACGAGAUAUUAACGAUGCGCAUAUCAACCUAUGCAGUAUUGUAGCUAACAUGUUAAGUAUCGCGUCUGGGAGUACUUUCGCAAGAAUGAAACCUUUUGUCAUUGAACUUCCCAAUCAAAAUUAUCGUAAGACCUUGUGAUGAUCAACCUUUUGAGGAUCCAAUUGUAUUCCGGCUUCCCAAUAAAUUAAGUUAAAAUUUUGUAAUUUCACUACAAAGUUUUCCAAUCUAAUAAAAAUUAAAAUAAAUACCUAAUAUACAAAUUUUAUAAGAAGUUAAUCGAAACUGCCCUAACAAUUUCACAUUCUAUCUCAGGGACUGGGAAAGUAAAUUUUAGAGGUUAACAGACUAAGAUUGGUAUUGUUAACCAUACAGGAAAAAUAAAAUUUGCGAACUAAACGUAUAUAUUUGAGAUGAGAACCAAUAUACAAAAAAAUCUACAAGAAAGAAUAAUUUCGUGUAUUAAUUGAUGCCUAAAAGAUUCACAUUGUAAGUCUCACUAUAUAACAUAUCUGGACAAGUAUGAUAGACGUACAAUUAUUGACAAUAUCAGAAGUGCCAUGUAUAAUGCUAAAACAAAGAGACAUGCCCAAGUUAGAUUUAAGUAUAUAAGGGGUUUAUUGUUUGAUCGGAAUAUAGUUAUGAGUUUAUUGGAACUCAAGAUAAUAUAGCUACUCCAUGAGCAUGUUGUUAUUCUUAAGUCGAGGUUUUGGUUGGGACUGAUAACUCAUCAUGAUUCAUCUGCAACGGGAACCGAAUACAUCUUAGAGGAGAUCCUCCAAGUGUAUUUAAUAGAGUAAUAAAAAGCUAUAAGGGUGGUGACAACUGCAAGUAUAACAAGAGUUUUUAGAACUCUGAACGGGGUCAUGUUAUUAGACAAAAUCUCUGAAGAUGCCCAUCUAAGCGAAUGUAAUUGUGAGGUCGCAAUUAGAUGAAAGGGUUAUUCCUUGAAGCAUUCGACGAACAUAAUCGAGACACGACCAUUAAUGUCUCAAAACCGUAGAUUAGCACCAUAACCUUUGACUUGUCAUCGUCUAUGGAGCGUGGUUACACCCAACGAAUAGAUAUUCAAGGUGAAACAAUCCAUCUAUAUCUGAAAGCCACCGAAGUAGGAGAUUUAUGAGGGUUCUAACCCGGAAGGAUACCAAUUUUGAAAGCCAGGCAUGAUGAAGACUGAUAUGCAAUUUUGUGUGGAUAUAUGGGGAUUGUUGAAAAAUGGAAAGUUUGAGGCAUUUUUUAAAUAUGUUUUUGAUGUAAUUUCUGGAAACUAAUAGUUGGUGGCUGUCCCUUGCUAACAGGACUUAAACUUUCAUGUUUGGAUCUAAGACAUUUUCUUAGUGUAAUCCAUAAAUAAAUUGAGUUGAAAUGGCUAGCUUGAAGUGGGUCAUGUGGUUGCCUGAAUUGUAGCAACUUGAAUACCAUAUUGAUUUGAUAAUGAAAGUUUGGUGGUUUUAUAGUACAUCACAUGCAAGCGUAGUGCACUAACUACUAAGGUGUGAAGCCGUAGGUGUGCCAUUGCUUCAUGCGGAGCUCCCACGCGCGGCGCGCAUGUGUGCCCUUCACCGUCUCGCAGUUUUGUGUGCUCCCACACGCGCGUGCCUUCACCAUCUCCGUGUGGAACUUAGUAGAUAAAGAAGAUUUUUCUUGAUUAUAAGCAGUCAAAAAUCUCCAUUAAUAUGUAAGAGCAGUGGCGGUGGCACGUGGGGGCCCGGGGGGACACGUGCCCCCGUAGAGUUUUCUAAAAAAAAAAAAAAAAAAUUUUUUUUUUUUGUAGGACCCACUUACUUUACCAAGUUGUAUACUCCUGUACAUACUUUUCACAGCUGAUCACAUAUAAUCCCUAGAGCUUCUUCGGCUCCUUUUACACAAACCACAACCCAAAAGCCAAAAUCAAACGAUAACACCUGCAUCAUCACUUAUCCGGGCAAGGGGGUGAUUCCUUUUCAUAUUUCUUCAACAAUUCCUUUAUCAGGUAAUUUCUCUUCUCUGCAUCAUCAUUAAUUUUCUUUGUAUUCUUGUAGUUGUAUAUAUGUUGAGUUUUAAGUGUUGUAAGACUAAAGAGUGAUGGAUUGUUGUUUAUAUAUUUGGAUUGUGAAUUGUGAUUAAAUAGUGAAUUAGCGAUGAUCUUCUUGUAUUAAAAUUUACUGUGUAGUUAUAGUUCUCAUUCUGGGCUUCUAGGAUAUUUUUCAAGAAUAGUCAGUAGAUAUCUUAGAAUUUUAAAAUCUCUUGUAAUUAUUUGGUCAUGCUUCUAUUAAACAGAAAUGGAGAGAUUUUAUAAAAGGAAGUCAGAAGCGGAAGCUGUUGUGCCGCCUGUGCCAGUGCCACCAACCGUAGUAGCUGAAAAUUCUCAAAAUAUUAUAAGAGAUGAAAGCAGAGUGAUCAAUUUAGCGACACUUGAGUCUGAUCCAGGGCUGAGGAUUCCAAUUGAAAAUUAUAAUGUUAAUAUACAAGAUGAAGUCAGGAGAAGAUACAUGCUUCAAGGUCCUUGCCAACCGGACAAUCAUAUAUUUCCAUUGACAAAGUUUGGACAAAAAUGCAGAAGAUUCAACCCAAAAUGGUUUAAAGAAUUUUCAAAUUGGUUGGAGAAUUCUAUAAUUGAUAUGCAACUCCAAGAAUUAAAUAGUCGUUUUGAUGAGGUGAAUACUACAUUACUUCUCUGCAUUUCUUGUUUGUGCCCGGAUGAUUUGUUUGUUGCUUUUGAUAAACAAAAGUUAAUUCAACUUGGUGGGUGUUAUCCUGAAGACUUUUCUCCGAUUGAACUCCUGGCCCUUGAUGACCAACUUCAGAAUUAUAUAACCGAUAUGCUGUCAAGUAUUGAAUUUUCUGAUUUGAAAGGGAUUACCGCUCUUGCCAAAAAAAUGGUUGAACUAGGAAGGGACAAAGUGUAUCCUCUGGUAUACAAGUUACUAACAUUGUCUUUGAUCUUGCCAGUGGCAACAGCAAGCGUGGAAAGAGUAUUUUCAGGAAUGCAUCUUGUUAAGACAAAGCUGCGAAAUCGCAUUGGAGAUCAGUGGUUAAAUGAUAGUUUAGUUAUAUAUAUCGAAAGGGAAAUUUUUGAUUGCGUUGACAAUGAACUGAUCAUGCAGCGAUUCCAAAACAUGAAAACUCGUCGUGGAAACUUGUAAUAUUAUCACAUGAACUUGUAAAUAUUUUUGCUAUAUAUUUAUAUAUUUUAUUUUGUUGCUGGAAAUUUAUAUGGUGCCCCCACUCGCUAAAAGUCCUGGCUCCGCCACUGUGUGUGAGGCAACACGAUGUAGCGUUCUUAUGUUUUUACAUGGGCUUGGGUUCUUAUGUUUUUACAUGGGCUUGGGAUUGAAACGCUAUAUAACGUAAUGUUAAAAUAUUAUCAGCAAUAGCCCUAUAUUCUGGUUCUGGAGUUGAUCUGAAGACUGCAGGCUGUAUCUUAGAUUUUAGAAAUCUAGGAGAUGUUCUGAUUACAAUGAGACAGCAGAUUUUCUUGUGUCUUGGCAACCUGCUCUGCAUGUAGUGACAUAUGAUUUUCUUGUGAAAAACAAAUGGAACGAAACGUGAAGCUUAUCAGUGGCUUACAUGAAGACUACAAAAAAACCCUGCACAACUGAAAUUGGAGGGUUGAGCCUAUCACUGAUCUCUAAAAAACAUAUUUCUGUGUAAUGAGAUGGUUACUUUAAUCUUCCCAAGGUUACAAAAUGGAAGUGGAUUGACUACUAUACAUUACAAACUAGAACCUUGCAAAUUGUUAGUACCAUGCAUAUAAUAGCUAUUUCAAAUAAAAAGUACUUAUGAAGAUAUAAAAUGACUACAUAAUGAUUGCAGAGAUCAAAUCCUUGUAGAAAUUAAUGUAAUCAAAUUACAAAGUAUCAGCUAAUGCUCUACCUAAAAGAUGUAUAUGAGAGUCGUAUAUAAAAUUUCUGGACUAGUUACAAAAUUUGUGUACACUAUCUAACAAAAUAUAUAUAAACCCUCAUAAUCUGUUCAACAGAUCAAUGAAGGUGUCUUCUUUGCAUGGUAUUGUUAGGCCACCUUCUGGAUGAGUAAACCCAAAUUCUUCCUCAGCUUGACUUAACAGGUCUUGAAACGUAGGCUCAUUCAAGUAAGAGAUCGGAACUACAAAUCUUCUUCUUUGGUUCUCCCCAACAUACACUGCAAUACAUCCCUUGGGGACAUUUGUACUGCGAUCAAGAUUUCUUAAGGAAAAUUGUCUGUUGAGAAUUUGCUUGAGAUUAGUGACAUGAGGCACACGAAUACCCAUGAUGCUCAAGAAAAAUUGAAACUUCAACAAAUAUGGAGAAUACAAGAACUUGAUUUUGAGAUGAAUUUGGUUGAGGAGAUCACAGUUUUUAUAUAGAAAUAACAAGUAAUGAGUGGUUGAUGAAGAUGCAGAUUGAGUGGCACAGAUGCAUUGGGCAUUAGCACAUGCUAUUCUCUUUCAAAGGCCACACAAAAUUAAGAGUAAUGCUAGUGCUAGGACAUGAAUGUCUGUUGAGAGACAUCAUGUCCUACUGUUUCGGUUCAACAAAUCUGGACCUGAUAUUUUCUCAUUUAAAUUUACGUUUUAUGCUGAUACAUGCUUCAGACAAGGAUUAGAAGGUUGAUUUUAUGUUUGAUUAUGUUAAAAUUGAAAUAACUGGACACCUAAAUAUUAAAGGCAGAGCUAUCAGACAACUAAGAAAUUUGAUUAUCCUUGGUAAUUGUAGGGCAAGUUGUGUCUUGGUAAGCAGAGACAUAUAUCCCAAACUCCUCCAACCUUGCUAUUGAUUCUGUAUUUGUAGGACAUCACCAUGUGCUAGUGACUUAUUAUUUCAUUGUCAGUGUUCAAGAAGCCUUCUAUAUAAACAUAGGGAUUUUGACAUAAAUCAACACAAGCUUAGUAGCAAACCUUUAUUUCUUUCAUCCAGCAUCCUCUAGUCCUUUCCCUCUCGACAUCCAUUCUAAGAACACUAACUUAGAAUCAUGGGUAUCCGCAUGCCUCAUAUUCCUCAUGUCAAGAAAAUCUUUCAGGGGUCUUCUUUUGCAGCUACAGCAGUUUCAGACGUCCCAAAGGGCUGCUUGGCAGUUUAAGUUGGGGAUAGCCAGAGAAAAAGAUUUGUUGUUCCAAUUUCAUACUUGGCUGAGCCUGCCUUCCAGGACUUGCUAUGUCAAGCUGAGGAAGAAUUUGGUUUUGAUCAUCCAGAUGGGGGUCUUACAAUUCCCUGCAGAGAAGAUGUGUUUACAGACCUCGCCUCAAGCUUGAGAAGAAAAUAAUAGAGAACAACCUGAUCAAAAUAAGUAGUUUAGAAAUUUUUUGUAAGCUAGUAGGAGAUAAGUUAGAAAAGGUUGGACCAUAGGCAUUUAUGCAAAAGCUUUCUUCCUGUAUCUCAUGGAAUCAUUUUCAAUGAGGAAGAUCGUCACUCAGAAUUUUGUAUAAUAUGAAACUAUAUACAUCCCGAUUAUAUUUUUAAGAUCUAAUUAUGUUGUUUGCAAAUAACUUCCUAUCUGUAAUCAGUUCCACGUUAUUCUGAAAUUGAUCGAAAUUGGCAUAGAAUAGUGUUUUAACAGAUAAAUCUAUUCAAAAUUGAUAUGGGAGAAAGCAGCCCCUUAUUUUAUAUUCCUAUAUUUCAGAAAGAAUUAGUCAUAACCUAUCUACAGUUGCUCUGUGAUCAUAUUUACUGUGAGCCCGAAAUUCAUCAAGAUUCCACCUGCAGAAGAUACUUGGCAAGGUAUACCAAUGCUUCAAGUUAUGAUUCUGCUUGCUUCAAGUUAAAUUUGCAGCACAUACAUUAUUUCAUUUUUAUGCUAUAUAUUGAUCACCUAUACAAAAAAUGUGCUACAUUAUGCGUUCCACAAAUGUAUACCUGAUCAAGACUUGAUAUGAAAUUACAAAUUCAAAUGGGAACUUUAAGUUGAUAUUUUCCCCUAUAUUUCUGUGUUACUGAUCUGUCUAUAUCAACUAAUCUUUCUUGGUAAAUUUUGAUUAUAUAAAACCGUUUAUGUUGGGGAGAGAGAAAGGAGAAGAACUAUUGUCUAUUGAGAAGUCAUAUUUCUCAUGGACCCAGUCGAAUGCUUAUACAUAGAAGAACAGAGAAGUCAUUAAUAAUUAAACAUCAAUCAAGAAAUUACAGUAGAAAGUAGCACAUCAGUUUGUACCUGCAUUACCUUACUACUUCUGGUACUCUAAUAAUAAUUCAAAAUAUAAUAUAUUUGCUCAGACAAGGAUUAGAUGUUAUAAUUCCUGUGUGAUAAUGUUUAAAACCUCCAAAAAUAGACAACCUAUAAAUUCAAGAUUAUCAUAUAUAAUACGGCAGGUUGUGUCUUGGUAGUCAUAGACAUAUAUUCCACACUCAUACAGUCUUGCUAUUCAUCUGAUGAUUUAUUAUCACCAAUAUAUAUGCAUUAGUAGUCCUUAAUUUACUAUUUAAGAACUGCUUCAUCUGCUGUAUAAGCACGUCAUUGGGAUUUUAACAAAAACCAUUUCAAGCUUAACUGUUUACCUACAUUUGUUCGUCUAGCCAUUGGUUAGUCAUCUACCUCAUAACAUUCAUUCCAAAUAAAGCCACUUACAAUCAUGGCUAUUCUUCACCGAUCUUAUUUUGGAAGAUAUACCAUGACUGCAGCUACUGUCCGAAAUAGAUUCUUUGCAAUUUAUGCCGGGGAGAGGCAAAGAACAUAAUUUAUUGUCCCAAUUUCAUGCUUGAGUGAGCGUGCCUUUUAAGACUUGUUAAGUUAAGCUGAGGAAGAAUUCGGGUUUGAUCAUCCAGAGGGGGGUUCUUACUAUUCCCUGCAGAGAAGAUAUCUUUACAGAUCUCAAGUCAGGCUUGAGCAGAAAAUCAUGAAGACGAACAUGAUCAGAACAAGUAGUGCAGAAAAUUUUGUAAACUAGUGAAUACAUAUUAACUAUAAAUGUCAGAUUGUCUUUUGUUUAUUGAGCUUGUCUCAAUAAAUGAUAUUAGAAACAAUACGAUGUAGUUAUAUUUGUCAGAUUGUCUUCAUUAUUGAGCUUUAUUCAUGAAAUGGUAUCAAAAACAGGUUCGGCAAUAGUCAUUUAAGCAAACAAUUUUCAUGUAUUUCCAUAGCAAAAAUCAUUGCAUAAAAAGUUGUCAAUUCAUAAGCAAUUUAUAUCUCCUAGUUAUAUCCUUUGACCUGAUUAUUUAGCUUGAAAAUGCCGUCCUCAAAUAUAUCAUUUCCACAUAUUUCAGCAGUUAAAUCAACAUUUGCAUCUAAUUGUGUGUAAGAAGUAUGGUUUCCUGAAGAAAUUGAAAGCAUUAGCAUCUAAUUGCAUUAGAAAUUGAAAUCAACAUUUGCAUCUAAUUGUGUGUAAGAAACUCCUUAACCCGUCAUCUUUCUUGUUAAGUCCUAAUUAUACUUCAACAGUUCCAAUGGGUUGAUUUGUGGUUCCCAUUUCAUACCUGAAUGAUCCUGCCUUCCAAGACUUGUUAAAUCAAGCUGAGGAAGAAUUUGGGUUCAGCCAACCAGAAGGCGGCCUCACUAUUCCCUGCUCAGUGGACACAUUCAUUCACCUUACUUUACGCCUAGAUAUAUUGACAAAAAAAAAAAAUUGAUCAAUAUAUUGAACACAAAAAUUUGAUACUCAAAUCUGUAAGUUUUGCAUGUAAUGUAAAGCAAAUUAUAUGUAGGCAGGGACUUCGAAAUUGAUCAAAGAUUUAAACUGUGAAUGUUAUGUCUGGUCAGAGUUGGAAAGUUAAACUUCUCUACCCAGAACCAAUAAAUGACUUUAGGUACUAAAAUGAAAAGAAAACUAAAGGAAUGAAACAUCAAGCUUAUCAGUAGCUUACAUGAAGACUCCAUAAAAAGCUGCACAACUGAAAUUAGAGGGUUGAGUCUGUCAAUUAUUAGAGUGAUAUUGAAUAAACAUGUUCUUCACAUCCAUCCAAUGAGUUCGCGGCAAUUCCAGGAUAGCAAUAUGUAUGAAUAAAUUGAUACUAGUCAACUAAGCAAAAGAAAUUCUUCACUGAUAUCUAAUAAACAUAUUUCUGUGUAAUGAGAUGGUUACAAUAAUCUUUUCUAGGUUAUCAAAUGGAAGCGGAUUGACUAGUACACAGUACCAACUACAACCUUACAAAAUUGGUAGUACCAGAUAAUAGCUAUAUGUUAGUACAAUCUGCGCAAGACUAAACUGAGGUUAACCAAUGUCUUCUCUACAAGGAAAACCCACUCCAGACUAUAGAGAGAUGGAAAUUGCUCUUCUUUUGAACAAUUACGUUUGUGAUUGGAAGCAAUAAUGUAUAAAGCUGCUUAUCUAUAUUUCAAAUAAAACAUAAUGACUACAUAAUGAUUGCAGAGAUCAAAUCCAUUUAGAAAUUAAUGUCUCAAAUUACAAAGUAUCAGGUAAUGUUCUACCUACAAGAUUUAUUAGAAAUUCCUGGACUAGUUUACAAAAUUUUUACACUAUCUAACAACAUAUAUAUAAACUUUCAUAAUCUGUUCAAGAGAUCAAUGAAGGUGUCUUCUUUGCAUGGAAUUGUGAGGCCACCUUUUGGAUGACUAAACCCAAAUUCUUCCUCAGCCUGACUUAACAGGUCUUGGAACGUAGGCUCGUUUAAGUAAGAGAUCGGAACUACAAAUCUUCUUCUUUGGUUCUCCCCAACAUAGACUGCAACACAUCCCUUCGGGACAUUUGUUCUGUAAUCAAGAUUUUUUAAGGAAAAUUGUCUGUUGAGAAUUUGCUUGAGAUUAGUGAUAUGAGGCACACGAAUACCCAUGAUGCUCAAGAAAAAUUGAAACUUCAACGGAUAAUCUUUGGAGAUAUGGAAAAUACAAGAACUUCUGCCGAUGGAAGGCUUAGACCUUAAUUCCACUUGGUUUUGUGAUGAAUUUGGUUGAGGAUAUCACAGUUUUUAUAUAGAAAUAACAAGUAAUGAGCGGUUGAUCAAAAUGCAGAUUGAGUGGCACAGAUGGAUUAGGCAAUAGCACAUGCUAUUCUCUUUCAAAGGCCACACAUAUUUAAGAGUAAUGCUAGGACUUGAAUGUCUGCUGAGAGACAUCAUGUCCUACUGCUUCUGUUCAACAAAUCUGGACCUGAUAUUUUCUCAUGUUCUACUGAUAGUGGAGAUAAGACAGAAUAUAACGUAAUAUAUACGGAUAUGAACAAGGUACAAAUAAUUGGGUGGAAAGUCCUCACUUUGCCUGGCAAGCAAGGUAGCAAAUUUUAAGAAGUUAGUUUUUGUGGUCAGUAGUUGUGGGUGGGACGGACAAGUUAAGUGCUCAUGUGAUAGUGUUUUCAUUCACCUAUCCUAGCUGUUUAUUUUUUGUGCAGUAGGAAACACCUGAUACAAGUUGUUAUAUUCACGAAAGAAAGGGCAAAUCUUUGUAAGAAACAGAUUAUUAGGAUUUUGUGUGGUAGGAAACACCUCAUAUAAGUUCUCAUAUGUUUACAUUCACAACAGAAAGAAUAAUUUCAAGAAUAAACACUCAAAUUUUUUUAAGUACUGCAAUUCAUUUCUCAUACAAUGCUCAAGCAAGAAGUGAGUUUAAAGAAUAUGUCUACUUAACAUGGAAUAGUAAGACCACCUUCUACAUGAUCAAAUCUGAAAUCUUUUUGAGCUUGAAUAAUUAAUUCUUAAAGGGAGGUUCACUUAAAUAUGCAAUCGGAUCUACUUCUCUGGCCUCCCCAACAUAAACAGCCAUAAGCCUUUUGGAACAACAAGCACUGUUGAACUAGCAAGAUAUCUCAACACAGAAGACUGAUGGAUAACAAAAUAAAAGCCAUACGGUUUUCAUGGUGUAAUAACAAAAUUGACAAGAACGAUUAUAUAAUGAAAGUAGAUGUAGAGGAAAAUUUAGAUUGUGCGGCUAAUUAGUUUACGCUGACUUGUUUGCAGUUCCCUUUUUCUGCGAUUAGAUAUAAAAAGGAGAAAUAAAUUUUUAUCUAAAAUGUGAAAGAUCCACACGCCUUUCUCUUUGGCUCACCACAUAGAUUAACAACUCAGAGGCCAUAUCUAUUUCUGCUAGGAAACAUCUCAUGUUCCCAAUUGAUUGCUGAUGUGCACUACCUGAAAAUCAAUACUUCUGCAUCAGAUAAAGAUUUCAAGAGAGGGUAGCACAUGGGUCUGUAUCCUACUGCUUCUUGUACCACAAAAUCCUAGUACAUGCUUCAGACAAGGAUUAGAAGGUUGAUUUUAUGUUUGAUUAUCUUAAAAAUUCAAAUAACUGGACACCUAAAUAUUCAAGGGAGAGCUAUCAGACAACUAAGAAAUUUGAUUAUCCUUGGUAUUUGUAGGGCAAGUUGUGUCUUGGUAAGCAGACACAUAUCCCACACUCCUCCAACUUUGCUAUUCAUUAUGUAUUUGUAGGACAUCAUCAUGUGCUAGUGACUUAUUAUUUCAUUUUCAGUGUUCAAGAAACCUUCUAUAUAAACAUAGGGACUUUGACAUAAAUCAACACAAGCAAACUAGCAAACCUUCAUUUCUUUCAUCAAGCAUCGUCUCAUCCUUUCCCUCUCGACAUCCAUUUUAAGAAUACCAACUUAGAAACAUGGGUAUCCGCAUGCCUCGUAUUCCUCAUGUCAAGAAAAUUUUGCAGGGGUCUUCUUUUGCAACUACAGCAGUUUCAGACGUCCCAAAGGGCUGCUUGGCAGUUUAUGUUGGGGAGAGCCAAAGAAAAAGAUUUGUUGUUCCAAUUUCGUACUUGGCUGAGCCUGCCUUCCAGGACUUGCUAUGUCAAGCUGAGGAAGAAUUUGGUUUUGAUCAUCCAGAGGGGGGUCUUACAAUUCCCUGCAGAGAAGAUGUGUUUACAGAUCUCGCCUCAAGCUUGAGAAGAAAAUCAUAGAGAAGAACCUGAUCAAAAUAAGUAGUUUAGAAAUUUUUUGUAAGCUAGUAGGAGAUAAGUUAGAAAAGGUAGGACCAUAGGCAUUUAGGCAAAAACUUUCUUCCAGUGUCUCAAGGAAUCAUUUUCAAUGAGGAAGAUCAUUACUCAAAAUUUUGUAAAUUAUUAAACUAUAUACAUCCCAAUUAUAUUUUUAUGAUCUAAUUAUGUUGUUUGCAAAUAAAUUCCCAUCUGUUAUCAGUUCCACAUUAUUCUGAAAUUAAUCGAAAUUGGCAUAUAUUAUUCUGAGAUAAAUUUCUUGAAAAUUGAUAUGGGAGUGGGAGAAAGCAGUCCCUUAUCUUAUAUUCCUAUAUUACAGAAAGAAUUAGUCAGAACCUAUCUACAGUUACUCUGUGAUCAUAUUUACUGUUAGACCGAAAUUGAUCAAGCAUCGACCUGCGGAAGAUACUUAUCAGUAACUUUGAUAGUCAAAUCAGUAACUUUUGCAUGUAAUGUAAAUCUCCUUGUCAAAGAUUAAAACUGUGAACGUCAAGUCUGGUCAGAGUUGGAAAGUUAAACUUAUCUACCCAGAACCUAUAGAUGAUGUUAUUGAUAAAAACAGCAAACUUCAGAUGCAAUGAUUGAUGAAAAAAAAAUGGAAUGCAACGUCAAGAUUAUCAGUGGCUUACAUGAAGACUACAAAAAAACCUGCACAACUGAAAUUGGAGGGUUUAGGAUGUCAACUGUUAGAGUGAAAUUAAAUAAAGAUGUUCUUCACAUCCAUCCAAAGAGACCUUGGUAAUUCCAGGAUAUCAAUAUGAAUGAAUAAAUGGAUUCUUCACUGAUGAUUUCUAAAAAACAUAUUUCUGCGAAACUAGAAAUUAAGGCCUGCAGUCUAGCACAAAAGCCUGAGGCAAAGUUUAAACGUGAAAUACAUUAAAAGCCCCUACAAGGCACGUGCUUUUAAUUUAAAUCAUAUCUCUAAUUAAUUGCUCACUAUAUAUGUAGAAUUUGAAUUUAAUGUAUUUAGUUUUGUUUUUAAAUCUUAAAAUAAAACUUUUUGAACCUCCGCAUAGAAAAAAAGACCCGAAUAACACAAUUUUGGAGUUUAAUACCCUGAAUAACAAAUUUUAUAAAAAUGGCCUCAUCUGACAAGUAAAGCCGCUUGGCUAUUAGCGUUUAAUGUAAAGGGGCAACGCUAAUGCUUUUAGCGUUUUUGAAGUACGCCCCAGGGUCUAGUCUUUCUUUUUACUGGCACAAACACACACAACACACUGGUGCUCUCCUUGAAAUAAAUUAAUAUAUAUAUAUAUAUAUAUAUAUAUAUAUAUAUUUUGACCUUUUAACAUGUUUUUUCGAAAAAUAUAAAAAAUAUUGGUUCAAUUUAAUAAAGUAAAUCAACAAUCGUUAACAUUUAGGUUUUAAGUUUGGGUUGUAAAAUGAUUAAUUCAUACUUUAAAUUAAAUUGGCCGACGGUUAGGGUUUAGGAUUGAGGGUUUAGGGCCGUUAGGCCCUAAUCCCUCGAGCCUAAACCCUAAUUAAUGCGAGGCUUUAGGGCCGAGGCCCUAAAGCCGAGAAACCGGCUGAAUAAAUUAAUUUACAAUCGUUAACAUUUAGGGUUUAGGUUUGGGUAGCAGAAUGAUUAAUUCGUACUGUAUAUUAAAUUGGCCGACGGUUAGGGUUUAGGAUUGAGGGUUUAGGGCCGUUAGGCCCUAAUCCCUCGAGCCUAAACCCUAAUUAAUGCGAGGCUUUAGGGCCGAGGCCCUAAAGCCGAGAAACCGGCUGAAUAAAUUAAUUUACAAUCGUUAACAUUUAGGGUUUAGGUUUGGGUUGCAGAAUGAUUAAUUCGUACUAUAUAUUAAAUUGGCCGACGGUUAGGGUUUAGGAUUGAGGGUGUAGGGCCGGUAGGCCCUACUCCCUCGAGCCUAAACAUUAAUUAAUGCGAGGUUGCAGGGCCGAAGGCUCUAAAGCCGAGAAUCCGGCGGAAUAAAUUAAAUUAACAGUCGUUAAUUAACAUUUACGGUUUAUAUUUGGGUUUUAAAAGAAUUAAUUUUUGCAUGGCAUUAAAUUAUUAAAAUAAAUUAAUUGUUGUUAACAUUUUAGGGUGGAUGAUUAAUACUUGAAAAUUAAAAACAAAACAAAAUAAUAAAUAAAUAAAAAAAUAAUUAUAAGAUUAUUGUUAUAAUAUAAAAAAGAUUAUAAGAUUAUUGUUAAAUGAAAUUUAAAAAAGGUGUAGUUAUAAUUGUAAGAAUAGCUGGUUAGCAACUAGCGUUUUGACAACUCUUAAUAUGCCGUAAAGCGCUAUUCUCAAAAGCGUUUUAGUGAAUUUCGAAAACUAGUAAACGCCAAACAGUGUGUCGUUUGUCUUGGUUUGAAUGAAAAAAAAAAUAUACCAAUGCUACACUAAUUAAGUAGCAUUUUAGUGAGCACUAUUGGAUAGCCCAAGUAGUUGAGGGCUUAUCCUCUAUUGGCCCAGGUACUGGGUUUGACUCUGGCUCACCUCGAGAAUAUCUGAGAACAGAUACUCACAUUGUAAGGCUAUAAACCAUAUUAGUCAAAAAAAAAAAGUAGCAUUUUAGUUGAUUAAAAAACCAAAACGCUACAUACUAAACCAACAAUUUGGGGCCGAAACCCGUAUGCAUAUUCUAAUUAUUUAAUACUCAAUUUAUUGUUAGCAAUUCAAUAUUACCAAGAUAUAUUAAUUAAGAUUAUCCUCAAUAACAUCUGUUUAUUAAAACUCCUAAAGCAUUUGUAAUAUACUAAACCAACAAAACAGACGUCUGGCAAAUGUUGAUAGUAUAUUCAUCAGCGUGCUCAAAACAUGUAAAAGUUUACAUGAAAGUCUCAGUCAGAAUACAACUUCUAGACUAGUUUAGAAAUUUUGUACACUAACAACAUAUAACUUUUUACAUAUCUGCAGACAUGUAGAAACUUUCAUAAUCUGUUCAAGAAAUAAAUGAAAGUGUCUUCUUUUUGCAUGGAACUGUGAGGCCGCCUUCUGGAUGACUAAACCCAAAUUCUUCCUCAGCUUGACUUAACAGGUCUUGAAAUGUAGGCUCAUUUAAGUACGAGAUGGGAACCACAAAUCUUCUUCUUUGGUUCUCACCAACAUAAACUGCCAUGCAUCCCUUAGGGACAUUUGUACUAAAAUCAAGAUUUGUAGAGGAAAAUUGCCAUUUGAGAAUUUGCUUGAGAUUAGUGACACGAGGCAUGCGGAUACCCAUGAUGCUAAUCAAAAAUUAAAGUUUUCAGGUAAACUUUGGGGAUAUGAAACUACAAGGACUUCUGCAGAUUGAAGCUUCGACACCAGAAUACACUCAAUUCUGAAAUGACUUUGCUUGAGUUUCCAGCAGGGUUUAUAUAGAAUAUUGAGCUGUUAAUCAAAUUGCAGAUUGAGUGACACAGAUGCAUUAGACAUUAGCACAUGCUAUUUUCUUUGAAUAUCCUAAGGGUAGGACUUGUAUGUCUGUGAGUGACAUCUUGUCCUAUUACUUGUGUUGAACAAUUCCCUAACCUGGUUUUUGCUUUAAAAUUAUAGUUGAGAUAAGAGAGUUUAUAGUGGAGACUGUCAAGUUCGUCAGGCGAGGGAUUAAAUCUCAAGCUUUUAUUGGACAGGCAAGUUUGGUGCUCAUGUGAUGGUGUUUUCUUGACCUAUCCCAGCUGCUUCUUCCAAACAGAUUAUCAGAUAUCUUUGACAUGGUCUAGCUGCAUUAUGUGAAAAUAUCAACUUGGAGCUGGAAGAAACACUGUCACAUGAACACUUAUUAUUCCAACCCCACCAUAAUCAGUGAAGACAAACCCGAAACAUAAAAUCCAUAUCAUGCCACCCAGAUAAACCUUUGGAGGAGUCUUUAGCCAUAGACUAGUGAUUUUGUGUGCUCCAUGUUAAAUCUGCGGUGCAUUUAUGCCCUUUCUUUUAAUUUGUAUAUUACUUAUACACAUAUAACUGUAGGACAUCAAAUUUUCUUCAACAAACGUAUUACAGGCCAAAAUUACAUAUUGAGUCGUGAUUUAUUAUACAGACGUAGUAGGACACUCUGUCUCCCAACACAUAUAGAUGUCCACCUAUCAGUCAUUAAUACGUGUGGCUACUGAAGAAAAAAUCAUGUGCUAGUGUCUAAUGCCUACUCACCGCUCAAUGUACCAUUUGAUGAGAUCGAUGUUCUACACAACUUUCUGAUUGUUCUAUAUAAACACAUAAUUAAGCGAUACUAACAUUCAUCACAAACUCACUGGUCUAAAGUCUUUUCCUCAAAACUAUACAAGUCUAGUGUUUCUUCAGUUUCCUGAACUCUUCCCUGGAAGAUCUAAAGUGUCAUGGGUAUCCGUAUGCCUCGUAUUACUAGUUUCAAACAAAUCCUUAACCGCUCAUCUUUGUUAUUAAAUCCUGAUCUUACUUCAAUGAUUCCAAAGGGGUGCUUGGCAGUUUAUAUUGGGGAGAGGCAAAGAAGCCGAUUUGUGGUUCCCAUUUCGUACCUGAAUGAGCCUGCCUUUCAAGAAUAGUUAAGUCAAGCCGAGGAAGAAUUUGGAUUCAAUCAUCCGGAAGGAGGUCUUACAAUUCCUUGCUCAGAGGACACAUUCAAUGAAAUCACUUCGCGCCUGAACAAUUUAUAUACUUGUAGAUAGUAUAGCACCUCCGAUCUCAUUUGAUGAGUUUCUGAGUGUAAAUUGCAGAACAUAUAGGAUUUAUAUAUAAUUUUUUGUAGGUAAAGCUUAAUUUGAUACUCGAUUUUUUUGAACAUAUUGACCAUCACAUAUAGUCAUAGAUACUUUUAUUUCUCUAAAGCAUAAUACUAAUUUGAUAAACUUUAUGCCUAAAACAAAUCACUGACACAUAAGGCCGCCAUUUUUAGCAAUUCCAAAUGGCUGCUUAUAUUGGGAACAUCCCAAACAAAGGAAAUUUGUAUUUACUGUUUCAUACCUUAAUUUUGCAAUUGUCUUGAUAAAUCAGCCUUGACAGAAGGGUGAUUUUUGCUAACUCUUAAUUAAAAUUUAUAUUUAUAAGCAGUUCUGACUAAUUUAUAAAUAUAUCUCAGGCAUAGUUUAACCUAUUUAAGUCAUUUAUUAUCACGAAUACUCCUUCUGCUCCUCAGCCUACAGUGGUUAUUAGUUAGCACUUUGUGUAUCAAUGUGUGCAAUGUUGUAGCUAACGCGUUAACUAUCGGGUCUGGGUAGUGCUUUCGCAAGAAUGAAACCUUUUGUUGUUGACCUACCCAAUCGAAAUCAUCAUAAGACUCGUGAUGAUCAACCUUCCGAAUAAGUUCCCAUCGUAUUCAGGCUUUUCAACAAAUUAAGUUAAAAUUUUGUAAUUUUCCUGCAAAGCCUUCUAAGAUCUAAUACAAAUUAAAAUAAAUACUGUACAUAAAAUUUUAUAAGAACUUGACAGAAACUACCCUAACAAUUUCACAUUCUGCCUCUCAAAUCAGAAAAUUUAAAUUUUAAGGUGUUUUUUGUUAACAGAUUAAGAUUUAUAUAAGUCUAAACAAAUCAAUGUGUGUUUUAAAAAAUAAAAAGACUUUUGUGCAUUCCCUCUAGCCGCCUCCUCCAUCUUUUCAUUCCCGACGGGGCUUCCAUCGGUUUUCCGGUGGAAAGCCCCAAAUCUUUCCGUUUGAUUGCUAGUUCUUUGAUUGUUUUUGCUUUUCAUUGAUUUUCUUAAUAAAUCUCCUUCUUUAAGGGGGAAAAUUUCUUAGAUCUAUAUCACCGAACUUUUGAUUUUCGUUCUUAUUCGCUUCCAGAAGGCUUUUUGGAUUUGUGGGUGGAUCGAUUAUCUCUACGUGUCGUGGUGCAGAUCUAAUUGCUUUAGUUUUUAGUUGGAUUUUCUCUAGUUUGUUUGGAUUAUAGUUUGAUUUCUCUCCCUGGUGAGAGUGUGUGAUUUUUCUCUCCUCUUUUGUGAGAGUUGGUUUGGAUUCAUCGAUAAAAGCCUUCGAGAAGUGCAUUUGUGGUUGAUAGCUCAAACGGAGUUUUUGAAAAAGAUAAUGAACACAGAGCAAGGAUCUAUACAUGUACCAUCGUCAAUUUCAACAUCGCUUAUUUGUCUCAUCUUGACUAUGAAGACAGGCAUGUUAAUAUUUUCUAUGUUUGUUCGACUCGAUCAUUCUUGUAGAUGCCGUAUGGCUAUUAUUUAAUGAAUUAUUUCCUUUUCUUCAAAAAAAAAAAAAAGAUUUAUAUAAGUCUCAGUCUUAUAUAAAAUGUCUGGACUAGUUCAAAAAAUUUGUAAAGUAUCUAAGAACAUAUCACUAUGUAUGUAUCUGUACACAUAUAUAUAAACUCUCAUAAUCUGUUCAAGAGAUCAAUGAAGGUGUCUUCUUUGCAUGGUAUUGUGAGGCCGCCUUCUGGAUGACUAAACCCAAAUUCUUCCUCAGCUUGACUUAACAGGUCUUGAAACGUAGGCUCAUCUAAGUAUGAGAUCGGAACCACAAAUCUUCUUCUCUGGUUCUCCCCAACAUAAACUGCCAUGCAUCCCUUAGGGACAUUUGUACUACGAUCAAGAUAUGUGGAGGAGGAUUGGCGGUUUAGAAUAUGCUUGAGACUAGUGAUACGAGGAACACGGAUACCCAUGAUGCUAACAAAAAAUUUGUAGUAUUCAGGAUAAACUCUGCUGAUAUUGAAAUACAAGGACUUUUGCAGAUGGAAGGCUUAGACACUUGAAUACAAUUGAUUAUGUGAUGAAUUUGGUUGAGUUUGUGAUAGCGGUUUUAUAGAGCUCGGAAGUAUUGAACAGUUGAUUGAAAUGCAGAUUGAGUGGCACAGAUGCAUUAGGCAUUAGCACAUGCUAUUCUCUUUCAAUGGCCACAUAUGUUUAAGACUAAUGGUAAGACUUAAAUGUCUGUUAAGAGACAUCAUGUCCUACUACUUUUGCUCAACUAAUCUGAACCUGAUAUCUUCUUAUUCAACCAUAUGUUUGAUGCUUAUAGCAUAGCUAAGAGAGUAUAUAAGCCUAAAAUACACUUAUAUGAACGCCAUACAAAUAAUUUGGGUGGAAACUCUUGAGUUUUAGGUGGGACAGACAAGUUAGGUGCCCAUGUGAUGGUGUUCUCUUCCCCUGUGUUAGCUGUUUAUUUUGUUGAUUUGAUGAAUCAUUUAGUAGAAAACAGUGGCUGCUGGGGCUUAAUCAAGCAGACGCAGUAAGGUUGAUGUCUCGCAACACACAGAAAUCAAAUAUUCUUGGUCUUAUAUACUUGUGCUAGUGUCUACUGCUUCUUCACCACUCGGAUAAUAUUUCUAAUAAAUUGUUUAAGUAGUUCUAUGUUCUAUAUAUACUUAUAUUUAAGCAUUAGUAGAAUUCAUCACAAACUCAAUUGCUUCAAGCUUUAAACUUACAUUUCCUUGUGUUUCUGUUGUUUUCCUCAACUCUUCAGUAAAAGAUCCUUGAUAAGUAGGGGCAUGCUGUCUUGCAACAGACAGAGAAGUCAUUCAAUCAGUCAUAAAUAUAUGUAGCUAUUGAAAGAGAAAAUCAUGUGCUAGUGUCUAAUGCCUCUUCACCACUCAAGUUACAUUUUAAAGAACUGUUCAAUUUUCUAUAUAAAUACAUAGCUGGGCAUUAGUAAAAUUCAUCUCAAACUCAACUGUCUAAAGUCUUCACUAUACAAUUCCUUUUCUUUCUCCAUAUUCUCUAAUUGAUCUAAUAGUAUUAUGGGUAUUCGUAUGCCUCGUGUUACCAAUCUCAAGAAUAUCCUAAACCCGUCUUCUUUCUUGAUAAGUCCUGAUUAUACUUCAACAGUUCCGAAGGGUUGCUUGGCAGUAUAUAUUGGGGAGAAGCAAAGAAGACGAUUUGUGGUCCCCGUUUCAUACCUGAAUAAUCCUGCCUUCCAGGACUUGUUAAAUCAAGCUGAGGAAGAAUUUGGGUUCAGCCAACCAGAAGGCGGCCUCACUAUUCCCUGCUCAGUGGAAACAUUCAUCCACCUUACUUCGAGCCUAGAUAGAAUAUAGUCAGAAAACAUUUAUGUACAGGUAGAUAGUACAGCAUUAAAAUGUAAUUAGUAGAAAGGAGAAUUUUAUAGAUUUUGUUGGCAACGGAUAAUUUGAAACUCACCAUUUUGUUGAAUUUAACAUUACCAAAAUUUAUUGAUCAUAGUUUCUACUUAUAAAUUUAGAUAUAAAAAGAGACCAUGCAACUAUUAAACUGAUGGAGAGAAAUUAUUACACAGCACACGGAUUUCCUUUAUGAAUCUUAAGUAUCCAAGAAGAUAUAAAAAGGCCAGAAUCUGAAAAACUAACUCCAUCUGACUUCGCAUAGAAAAGAAGAUGUUACAUGUGGAAACUCCCAUAUCUUC